Molecule: ribosomal RNA, 733 nt
Filed under: uncultured eukaryote
Lineage: Eukaryota
Description: SSU rRNA
Rfam family: Eukaryotic small subunit ribosomal RNA
Source: RNAcentral
AGUCUGGUGCCAGCAGCCGCGGUAAUUCCAGCUCCAAUAGCGUAUAUUAAAGUUGUUGCGGUUAAAAAGCUCGUAGUUGGAUUUCUGUUGAGGACGGCCGGUCCGCACUAUGUGCGUGUAUCUGGUUCGGCCUUGGCAUCCUCUUGAGGAACGUUUCUGCGCUUGAUUGCGUGGAGCGGUAUUCAAGACUUUUACUUUGAGGAAAUUAGAGUGUUCACGGCAGGCAAGCGCCUUGAAUACAUUAGCAUGGAAUAAUAAUAUAGGAUCUUGGUUCUAUUUGUUGGUUUCUAGGGCUAAGGUAAUGAUUAAUAGGGAUAAUUGGGGGCAUUUGUAUUAACGCGUCAGAGGUGGAAUUCUUGGAUUGCGUUACGACAAACUACUGCGAAAGCAUUUGCCAAGGAUGUUUUCAUUGAUCAAGAACGAAAGUAUGGGGAUCGAAGAUGAUUAGAUACCGUCGUAGUCUAUACCAUAAACUAUGCCGACUAGGGAUUGGAGGUCGUUCUUUUUAUGACUCCUUCAGCACCUUAUGAGAAAUCAAAGUCUUUGGGUUCCGGGGGGAGUAUAGUCGCAAGGCUGAAACUUAAAGGAAUUGACGGAAGGGCACCACCAGGAGUGGAGCCUGCGGCUUAAUUUGACUCAACACGGGGAAACUCACCAGGUCCAGACAUAGUAAGGAUUGACAGAUUGAUAGCUCUUUCUUGAUUCUAUGGGUGGUGGUGCAUGGCCGUUCUUA